This 913-nucleotide ribosomal RNA is filed under the name Diplonema papillatum. Its description in RNAcentral is "partial large subunit ribosomal RNA". The record is from RNAcentral. Lineage: Eukaryota; Euglenozoa; Diplonemea; Diplonemida; Diplonemidae.
UACUGUAGAGGAUGCACUACACAGGAUGCUGUAGGUACAGGUGUACCAUGCAUACCCGGGUGCAUCUACAGCAUGUACUAUGCUACGUCCUAGCUACUGCAUGUAGCAGUACCAGCUGUACGUACUGGCUGUAGCUGUACAGCUGAUAGCAUAGCGUACUCACAUGGGUAGCUACAUGCUCAUAGUGCUAGCUGUGCAUACCACUGCAUGUACCCUUAGAUGCUACUACUGGUAGAGCUGUGUAUCAUGUCACUGGUGUACUGCGUGUACUGCUACUAGCUAUCCAUACGUAGGGUCUAAGUACCCAGCAUGAGUACACAGAGCAUCCACAGCAUGAGUACAGGUAUACAGUAUACUGUACCGCUGUCCUGCAUGGCAUGCUCUAGAGUACCUACCACCUGCAUAGCUAUGGGCUGACUGUCCCAUGACGCUAUCACCAUCCAGGGCUACGUACACCAUGUGGAGCACCUACGGGUACUCAGUAGCUGGAUCAUACGUACUGAGCAUGCGUUGCAUCAGUCGUACUACAGCUCUUUUUUUUUUUUUUUUUUUUUUUUUUUUUACCAUAGCACCAACCGGUGCAUAGCAUGACAGUGUCUCUACCACCUGUCAGCUAGUACACUGUGCUAUGUGGUAUGGGUGAUACCUCCUAGUCCUAGAGCACCACACAUCCCAUGUGGUAGCUCUAAGCACGUAGGUACGGUAGAGCUAAUGGGUAGCUGCGCAUGGAGCACCUCGGUGUCGUCUCAUGCUACAGCUGUCCAUACGAGCAGCCCAGGACGAUGUCCACGUCCUUAGAGCUCUCGUUGGUGGGUUGUGCACGCCAUGUGGUAGUGCUCCUCCUCCACAUGACAGUGAUACACAGUACGCUAGGACAUGCUACGGGAGGACCACCACAUAGUAUGCUAUGAGU